Molecule: transfer RNA, 72 nt
Filed under: Candidatus Aenigmatarchaeota archaeon
Lineage: Archaea; Nanobdellati; Candidatus Aenigmatarchaeota
Description: tRNA-Asn
Rfam family: tRNA
About the family: Transfer RNA (tRNA) molecules are approximately 80 nucleotides in length. Their secondary structure includes four short double-helical elements and three loops (D, anti-codon, and T loops). Further hydrogen bonds mediate the characteristic L-shaped molecular structure. tRNAs have two regions of fundamental functional importance: the anti-codon, which is responsible for specific mRNA codon recognition, and the 3' end, to which the tRNAs corresponding amino acid is attached (by aminoacyl-tRNA synthetases). tRNAs cope with the degeneracy of the genetic code in two manners: having more than one tRNA (with a specific anti-codon) for a particular amino acid; and 'wobble' base-pairing, i.e. permitting non-standard base-pairing at the 3rd anti-codon position.
Source: RNAcentral
GUCCCGGUAGCUCAGUGGUAGAGCGUUCGGCUGUUAACCGAAAGGUCGCAGGUUCGAAUCCUGCCCGGGACG